AAAUUUCUCUCAUAAGCUCAUUGAUUGUGAAAAUUACUCGUAAAAUGUCUGACCGAAUUGCGCAAAUUUUCUCACAAAAAACAGUGCUCAUAACUGGCGCCACUUUUAUCAGUAAAUUAAUUGUUGAAAAAAUACUACGGUGCUGUCCUAAUGUUGACAAAAUACAUAUUUUGCUGGAUUCAACAUUAAAAAACCUAACUGAUGACCCGGUAAGUUACAUUGAAUUCUCUUCGGCAACUUCAAUUUUUUUCAGCUUUUCGAAACGCUUAAAAUUCAGCAAGGGUUUGAAAUUUUCAAUAAAGUCGUUCCCAUUGCAGCCGAUAUGUCCCACCCCGAGCUAAAUUUAAAUGUUUCCAAGCGUCAUGAAAUAUGUAAAAAUGUUCAGAUUAUUUUUCAUUGUGCUUCAAUUGAUUCAGACUUAAAAAAGACAAUCCUUACCAAUGUCAGAGGCACCAAAUUGUUGCUCGAACUGGCCAAACAGUGCAAAAAACUAGAAAUUUUUAGUUACAUCUCUACAAUUUAUUGCCAACUUGACGAAGAAAUUGUGCACGAAAAAAUAUAUCAAAGACCGGAAAAUGCACAGAGAAUUAUCAGAAUUUGCGAAAUUCUCGACGACGAUAUGCUCAUAUUAAUCAAACAUAAGUAAUUCGACCACUUCCGAUACGCAAUGUUUCUAAUAAAAAAUUUUCAGAAUUUUGGGUAAUUUUCCCAAUUCUUAUAUUUUUAGCAAAGCACUGAGCGAAAAUUUAAUCACCGAUGAAAUAAACAACCUACCUAUUAUAAUUUUUCGACCUUCAGUUGGUAUGCUUGUCCCAAAUUUUACCAAAGCUGGAAUAAUGAUUAAUUUACAGUGGUGCCAGUCUGGCGGGAACCAUUGCCAGGUUAUGGUGACGACAAUAUGGAACUUUUAAUAGGUGCAGCAGGAAAAGGACUUAUUAAGACUUUGUAUUGUAAAAACGACGCAAAUUUGGAUUAUAUUCCUGGCGACAUUCUUGCCAACACCCUCAUGUUUAGUGUUUUUGAUUUUAUUACCAACAAUGGGUAAAUUAUUACUUCUUUUCAGAUAACAAACAACAAGUUUUUAAUUUAAUUACAGACAACGGCGGGUGUACAACGCCGUCUCCUCAAACAAACAUAAAAUUACUUUUAGUCAAGUUGUAAACAUUGGUCAAAAUAUAAUUGAAACAAGUGUACCAUUAAAUUUCGUUUGGUGGUACCCCGGGGUUUCCCUCACUCAAUCAAAAUUCAAACAUUACAUAUGUCUUGGUUUGCUUCACCUAAUUGACGUUAUUUUGAUUUUAUUAAGGAAAAAACCAAUUUUAGUUGACAUACAAAGACAAGCGUCCCAACAGUGCGAAUUUUAUGUUAACAGAAAUUGGAAUUUUAAUAAUUCUGAUAGUUUGAAAGCAAUUGAAAAUAAUUUAAAUCCAUGUGAACGCAAGACUUACAAAAUGGACGUUUCCGGUAUCAAUUUUAGGGAUUAUUUCAAGAGUUGUAUACAUUUUAUGAAAGAGACUAAAACAGAUGAUCAGAUUUAUAAGGCAAAAAAACAGAUGAAAAUAAUGCAAUGUUUGGAUCAGUUGGUGAGAGUUGUUUUCUUUACGUUGGCAAUAUAUUAUACAUUUAUAAUUUUUGGUUACUGAAUAAAAAAAUACAAAACUAUUAAGGCUGGCUUUCACUCUCUGAUCUUUCUGUGAGAUGACGUUACGUUUACUUGUCCCAUUUGGAUCAAAAUCACCAGCAAAGUAUUAACAGUGGCGAAAAUCUGCAAAAUUGUAUUCUUGUCAAUUUCGAAAAAGUCCGCAGCUGUGAAUUUAGGUAAAUUAACGACCACCAAAUUAGUAAAUUCAUAUAAUUCUUGUUUUUGAAUGUUUUCCGUCACAGCCCAACGCAAUUUGUACGUCAGGCUUACCAACUUGUAACUUUCUUGCACGACUUUGCUACACGUCAAAAUCAAAGACACCGUCAUACACUGUGUAUAAUAAAAACGGUAAUAUACUCAAAAUUGAUAAUACAAUAACUUA
Long non-coding RNA from Tribolium castaneum (red flour beetle), 2024 nucleotides. RefSeq lists it as uncharacterized. The record is from RefSeq and is a predicted model, not a curated record. Lineage: Eukaryota; Metazoa; Arthropoda; Insecta; Coleoptera; Tenebrionidae. The transcript has 3 exons.